This 164-nucleotide ribosomal RNA is filed under the name uncultured bacterium. RNAcentral's name for it is "partial 16S ribosomal RNA". It matches the Rfam family "Bacterial small subunit ribosomal RNA", at positions 338 to 495 of the family's 1533-position model. The record is from RNAcentral.
CCUACGGGAGGCAGCAGUGGGGAAUAUUGGACAAUGGGCGCAAGCCUGAUCCAGCCAUGCCGCGUGUGUGAAGAAGGUCUUCGGAUUGUAAAGCACUUUAAGUUGGGAGGAAGGGCAGUAAGCGAAUACCUUGCUGUUUGACGUUACCGACAGAAUAAGCACCG